UGGGGAGGGGGGAAAACCGAAUGAGGGAGAACCCGAGAGGCAGACCUGGAGAGCUGGAGACCCGGCCGGGAGCGGGGCUGCCAGGGUCCAUUGUACUCACCCCGGGGGGCUGAAGGCCUUCUUGCACCGGUUGUGUUUAGCAGCCAGACUUUAGCUGAACUUUGGACUUGUUAAACAAGUCGUUUGCAGCCUAGUGUGGAAGGCUCCGGGACUUUUCCACCAAGCUGCGAGUCCGCCUUUAGUCCGCAGAGAAGAAACUGUGCUUCGGGGUUCAGAUCCAGGACACAGCGGUUCCUGGGGUCAGGGAUGGCGCUCUGCAGACUCGAGGUCACAGCAGCCGGCAGCCGUCUUCCAUGCCAAGUUGGGAAGGUGCCCACAAAACCACUGAGGGAAAGGAGGUUUUUUUCCACUCCUGCCUGGCCCAGGAAGGAAGCUGAGAACCUUUCAACGCUAUCGGAGUUUCACCUGCACCGCCCUGAGGCGUCAGGGUGAAAGAAGGAUGCGGGAGGCACACCCAGACCCUCCAGGCUGGCCCAGAUCUGCAGAAGAAGAGGGGAAGGGGCUUUUUAGCAUGGGUCGCUCACAGGCCUAUAGUUCCUAGGGCAGAGGACACUCCCUUACCGGCCCCCUCUCCCACCACGCCUGAGGUUCAUCAUCUGUGAAAUACUGAUACUCAAGUGGGGGGGGGGGGUCCUGGGUGUCGUAUACCUUGAAUGAGAACACCUGUGAGACCCUGUCGUCUGGUGAUGGUGUUCAAACUUUUCCUUCUGGGAAGGCAGGAAGCCUGUUCCCGGUAGUAAAAAGCUAGCCCCUCUGGAGGCUUAGGGUUCUCAGAAUCAGGCAGCUCCAGUGCUGGGGUUGGCGACCAGGAGAUUAAAGACAACCUUUCAGAAAGAACAGGGAAUUUGUGAAGGAGCUUCCAAGCAAAUUCACCUUCCUUUCCCACCUUUAAAAGACGAUUAGGAGGAAGAGGGGAAUUUCAGCAUGGGUGGGGGUGGGGGUGGGGAGGGCCAGCAGCUCAGGAUCAAAUCCCUUUGCUGGCUGAGGGCUGAACCUCCAGAGGUGGCUGAUCCAAGUCAGGCUGCUGAGCAUCGAGGCUGCCUCUUACAUCCAGGGUUUUCAACACACGCUGGGCCACCCACGAAAAACGGGUGGUUGUGUGCUUGGAGCUCUGGGGGAGGUUUACACCAUCUCAGUGUCUUUCCUGGGAAAGGGGUCAAAAUGACGAUGGCCCUUCUUUUGACCUUAUUGUCUUCUAGUUUAUUGUGACAUAUGGCAGUCCCUUGCCCUCACCAUUCGGCCCAAUGAGAGAACAUUUUCUGCCCACCUAGCUCCCCUCAACUGGGAUAAUGAAGUGUUCGGAGUAAAUGUCCCCGGAGAACAAACUCUUUGUCUCUCAUUUGCUAUCAUGAUAGAAGCAGUCAAGUGUCAUGAAGAUCGGUUUCUGUGUUUAGCUGGGAAAAACCCAUUAAAAAGCCAGCCAUCACUUCCCUUUUAACAACAAA
Sus scrofa (pig) is the source of this 1505-nucleotide non-coding RNA. The record is from RefSeq and is a predicted model, not a curated record. Lineage: Eukaryota; Metazoa; Chordata; Mammalia; Artiodactyla; Suidae.